Non-coding RNA from Picea glauca (white spruce), 121 nucleotides. The record is from Rfam. NCBI's taxonomy places the organism in Eukaryota, Viridiplantae, Streptophyta, Pinopsida, Pinales, Pinaceae.
ACAUGCCUACAACUUAGCGUUAAUGCACCAGAUCCCAUUAUAACUCUGUAGUUAAGUGUGCUCGGGCUAGAGUAGUACUGGGAUGGGUAACUGCCCAAGAAGUUCUAGUAUUUUACAUGCC